AGGAUCAUGUGAACAACAUCGAUUCCUUAUCAUUAGUUACAUCAUUUAUAAAGUUCAAAAUACUUACACUUUCAUUGUUUGAAAUGGAACGUAUUAUACAAAUACAACAUUACUAGUUUGACUUCCCCAACACCAACAUACAACCAACGCUAUGUCUACGGAGCCUCUAAUAGAUACAAAAGAGCACGAUGAUAGUGCCGGCAACAAGGCCCCGGCUAUACCUCAAAACAUAAUACACAAGGAACAAAAGAUAUACGACCCCGAUAUGAAGUGGGGCUCACCAAGUCAGCUGGGAAGAGGGUGUGCCACUAUCAAUGAUCAAAGCAGCCUGCUGUGGAACCACCUGCAUCCAUUAAAAAUGCAGCGCCCCCGAAAAAAAAGGGAUGUUAGUUCAUAUGCAAUAGUACUAGUAUGAAUGGCUAAACACCCUCUCAAUAGAAUAAAUGAUAACACAGGGAAGGACAAUCAUAAAAUCGAUGGGAGCCUCAAACAAUACCAAAACAUCAAGUUAGGAGCAAGAAUAUGUUUCAAGUAAAUUUUCAUAUUUUAGGUUGGGAGAUCUUAGCACCGAUAUACUACCGUGAUUUUAGCACGGAGUCUGAUCACGACCCGAUCGGCUAGGCCGUCUCACCCAAAGACAUCAACUACAAUCACAAUCAUUAUAUCAAUCUCAAUUAUUGUUUCAAACAUAAUCUCAAGCACAAUCACCACCAUGUAUGCGCCAUGUCGUCCGAUCACGACCCGACCGGCUAGGCCGUCUCACCACAACGUCGUGUGGAUUGACAUCACCCUUUUCUAGCAAUUAUCUCGUCCCAAUAAAGGGGAAUAUUUCAUCAUAUAAAUCUCAUCCCAAUAAAGGGAAAAAUUCUCAUCACAUCAAUCUUAUCCCAAUAAAGGGGUACAAUCACAAUCACUACUAGACCGACACGUGUAGUUUCGGGAGUAGGUUAUUUUAACCUACCCUUCCUCGGUGACUAACGAUACUCCCAGGGUGUUUAUUUAUUUAAAGAAUUGACAACUCAUUUCAUUAUCUUUUAUAUAUCAUUCUUUUCAUUAGCACCAGUGGCCAUAACACAAUGUCACUUUUGGCACGUUGGCCAUAUUUCAUAUUUCAUGUUCAUCUCUUUCACUUUCAAAUAUCAUCACAGAUCAUCAACAACAAAGUAUUUCUAUUCAAGUCAUUAAGUCCACGUGUGAGCAAAUAAGAAUGUCACACAAUUUGGCAUAAUAUCUUUCAUUUGAAUCACGACUUGAAGUUAUAACAUUUAGCUAUGCAACCAAUGCUUCAAGCACAUUUUCAAAUAGAACAUAACAUAACAAGAACAUUUGGAAUACAUAUUGAACAUAAAUCUUUUGACACAAGGCAUAUUCNNNNNNNNNNNNNNNNNNNCACAAAGUUUACCGAAAUGAGCUCAACAAUCUUCCCAUUAUAGUUGAUGGUACAUGAAUGCAUAAUGAACAACUCCCAUACCCAAGAAUUGCUUUUCUCAUUACCCAUUUCCAAUUAAAUCCCGCAAUUGAAGGCUAAGGAGUAGAAUAUUACCUCUAGGAUGAAGACCUAGUGAGUUUUUCUUAUGAAUUAUUCAACUUUGAGCAAGAGUGAGUUUAUGGUUCCUGCUCAUCUGAGCAUUUUAUUAAAUACCAGGUGUGCAUUAAGGUUUCAAGGUCCUCCUAUGGUGGAUCCCUUCAUCCCACUACCCAAAGUUUACCCAAAUGAGCUUAAAAAUCUUCUCACUACCAUUAAUGGUACAUGCAUGUAUAAUGAACAACUCCCACACCAAAGAAUUGCUUUUCUCAUUAACAAUUUCCAAUUAAAUCCCGGAAUUGAGGGCUAGGGAGUAGAAUAUUACGUCUAGGAUGAAGACCUAAUGAGUUUUUCUUAUGAAUUCUUCAACUUUGAGCAAGAGUUGAUGAAUAAUAACCAUAGGAAUUCCCCCUCUCACUCUAGACCACUCCCCUCUCUCUAAAUAUUAGUUAGGACCAGCCAAAAUAACCCAUAAGUUGUUUUUAUGAAAAUGGGAUCGGAUAAAAUUUUCCAAUCUUAAACUCUAUGAAGCCCGAUCUGCAGUCACAAACCGGACCGC
RNAcentral lists this long non-coding RNA (2084 nucleotides) under Nicotiana tabacum (common tobacco). Its description in RNAcentral is "long non-coding RNA (NTAB_LNC019319)". The record is from RNAcentral. Lineage: Eukaryota; Viridiplantae; Streptophyta; Magnoliopsida; Solanales; Solanaceae.